Molecule: transfer RNA, 92 nt
Filed under: Pseudomonadota bacterium
Lineage: Bacteria; Pseudomonadati; Pseudomonadota
Also listed under: 2 other names
Description: tRNA-Ser
Rfam family: tRNA
About the family: Transfer RNA (tRNA) molecules are approximately 80 nucleotides in length. Their secondary structure includes four short double-helical elements and three loops (D, anti-codon, and T loops). Further hydrogen bonds mediate the characteristic L-shaped molecular structure. tRNAs have two regions of fundamental functional importance: the anti-codon, which is responsible for specific mRNA codon recognition, and the 3' end, to which the tRNAs corresponding amino acid is attached (by aminoacyl-tRNA synthetases). tRNAs cope with the degeneracy of the genetic code in two manners: having more than one tRNA (with a specific anti-codon) for a particular amino acid; and 'wobble' base-pairing, i.e. permitting non-standard base-pairing at the 3rd anti-codon position.
Source: RNAcentral
GGGGGGGUGCCAGAGUGGACGAUUGGGGCCGCCUGCUAAGCGGUUUCCCUGCGAAAGCGGGGACAAGGGUUCGAAUCCCUUCCCUCCCGCCA